ACGCAGGCAGGGUUGUGGUUGCUGGCUGUUACCAGGACAACCGGAGGCGAUUGACCGUUAUCUGCGGUUUGGAGCCGUUAGCGGGAGAGGCAGAGAUAUUCAGAGGUCUUUUAGGAUGCGCUAAAGGGUCGUGAGGGCUCUCUUAAAAUUUUCUUCACAAGCGGUUAUCCAGUCGUGCCCCGCGGCCCUGCUGCUGGCCCCGGGGAUCUGAGUCGUACCCUCUUGUUUUUCUCUGAGUCAGUCUUAAGGUGAAAUGAAGUGUGGCCCAGUGGCUCCUCACUGUCGCUUCUCUAGUUUUCUGCCUCCUUUUAGAAAAUUGAAUUGAAAAGACAGGAUGAAGUGGACACAGCAUGUGAAGACAAUUCUUUCAAGAAGUUUGGCUGUCAAGGAAAACAGAGAAUGUGAGUAGCCAAAGCAGAAUGACAGUGAAAGAAAGAAAUUGGGAGCCAGACAAUACAGCCCGACAGUUUACGCCUGUGCUAAAGAACAUACAGACACAGAGCAGACAGGCCACCUUUGCAACCACAUGGAGGUUUGUCUGAUAUUGAAGCUAAAGAAGCUAAGCUGGAAGACAGAGAGACCAAGUCCUGAUGACAUUGUUUGAACCCAGAGAUCCAGACAUGCCUGAAAACUAGUUUUACCACUGGACUUAUCCGUUGAAUGAGCCAAUAAACUCUCUUUUAUACUUAACCUUGGGUUUUACCUGGAUUUUUGUCAUUGACAGCUCAAAAUAUUCUAAUAUAGAAGUAUACAUCAUUAAAUCAACAUUUCUUUUUUUCUCUGUCUUAUUUUAAAUGUAACUCUAUAAGGUACUCUAAAAGUAUUCUACAGUCUCACUAAGUUAAUCUGCAAAUUUGGUAAAAUUCCAAUAUUAAUCCCAAAAGUAUUUUAAGAGCUUGUUUUUGUUGUUUGCUUGUUUGGGACUAAACAGAAUUACUCCAAAAUUCAUUGAGAGAAAAAAAAACAUGAAAAAAAAAACAAGAAAA
RNAcentral lists this long non-coding RNA (986 nucleotides) under Homo sapiens (human). RNAcentral describes it as "HSALNT0368587". Lineage: Eukaryota; Metazoa; Chordata; Mammalia; Primates; Hominidae. The record is from RNAcentral.